GACGAACGCUGGCGGCGUGCUUAACACAUGCAAGUCGAACGAAGAGCGAUGGAUGCUUGCUUCUAUCAAUCUUAGUGGCGUACGUGUGAGUAACGCGUAAUCAACCUGCCCUUCAGUGGGGUACAACAGUUGGAAACGACUGCUAAUACCGCAUACGAUCUAAACUCGGCAUCGAGGAUAGAUGAAAGUUGGCCUCUACCUUUAAUCUAUCACUGAAGGUGGGGAUUGCGUCUGAUUAGCAAGUUGGAGGGGUAAAGGCCCACCAAGGCGAUGAUCAGGAGACGGGCUGAGAGGAUGAACGGCCAAAAUGGGACCGGGACAAGGCCCAGACUUCUACGGGAGGGAGCAGUGGGGGAUCUUCCGCAAUGGAGGAAAGGCUGACGGAGCAAAGCCGCGUGAGUGAUGACGGCCUUCGGGUUGUAAAGCUCUGUUAAUCGGGACGAAAGGCCUUCUUGCGAAUAGUGAGAAGGAUUGACGGUACCGGAAUAGAAAGCCACGGCUAACUACGUG
RNAcentral lists this ribosomal RNA (510 nucleotides) under uncultured bacterium. Its description in RNAcentral is "partial 16S ribosomal RNA". It matches the Rfam family "Bacterial small subunit ribosomal RNA", at positions 28 to 507 of the family's 1533-position model. The record is from RNAcentral.